This is a long non-coding RNA of Helianthus annuus (common sunflower), 2814 nucleotides long. RefSeq lists it as uncharacterized. The record is from RefSeq and is a predicted model, not a curated record. Lineage: Eukaryota; Viridiplantae; Streptophyta; Magnoliopsida; Asterales; Asteraceae. The transcript is spliced from 4 exons.
GGAUAAAUGAUUCAUAAUUAGUUUUUUGUUUCUUCAAUCUUCUCUCUAAUUAGUUUAAUCUGUUCAAUAUUCAAGAACCACAGUUUGUGAUUUAUCAUUAACAUCAUAUAUGUUUUAUUUUAAUUUCUUUGAUUUUGUUCAAUAUUCAUUAAACCCCAAUUGCUGCCAGAUUUCAUCAUUGUUGCUGCUAACCAACCGCUAUGUGCUAUGGUGUAACAACGAUUCCAAUGUUAUGCAAAAUUAGGAUUUCUUACCUCUUUCGCUUUAUUUUGUUGUUUCAUUUAAAUUUUCAGCCCCACUAACCUGAUUUUGGCCCUUUUUUGUAUAGUUAAUCGAUACUCAAAUCUGAAUACACUAAAAGGUUUGUAAGCUAAAGAUAUCGAGUUUGUUUCCGAUUUUGUUUGUUGAUCUGGUAUGUUAUUUUAUAUUUUAACGUUUUUGUUCUUCAAUCUGGAGAUGGUAUACAUUUUGUUUUUGAGUUGGUAAGCAAUAAAUCAAAGAAAUUUGGGGUUUUAACUAGAUUUUGUGCUACAUGAAGUGGUGUUACUGUUCUUGGGUCCUUACAUUUGUAUCAUACAACUAAUUUUAAGGUAUGGUAUUGAAUGUUGAUUAUAGGAGACGAUUGUUACAGAGGAGGGCUGAGGCGAAAGUUAGGGUUCUGACGGGUUGGUCUAUGGCGGCUUAGCGGCCGCGGCAUCGCGAAUCAGUAGCUUGGUGAUUCUAAGCACUCAACAACUAUACAAAUAUGCAUACUUUGCUGGAAUGACAACUAUAACACCCGGAGCAUAUUUCUUGAUGUCAUUUCAAGCAUGAUGAUAUUAAUGAUAGAGGACUACAACAAUGUUCCCAUGAGAAUAUUGAUAUGAAAAAUGGUAAGGCUCUAUUCAUUUCUCACCGAAAGGAGGGCAGAAACAUGACAUAAUAAAGUUGAUGUUUGUACGAAGAUCCUGUGACCCUUUAGAGACAUUUUCGUUAAUACGUUGGAUUCUCUUAUGAGUGAUAAAACAAACUUAUCUCAGGUUUGUUUCUUAUAGUACCUUUUUAGUUUCUGCACUUAGACUUUAUGAAUGCACCAAUAAAUCUUAUGGGUAUUUGUUUCGCAGUGUGGUAUCUAAAUGUGGAAUCUAUCCUUAUUUACUCAUUAGAGUAUACUAUAUUAAUCUCUGGUUGCUUACAAAAAAAAAAACCUCGAAGAAUCAUCUGUUGGUACAUUUGUUGAUGCUAUUGUAAUUGUGUCGUUGCUGAGCCUGACUCUGAUGUCGUUGUUGCUAAUUUGUGUGCUGGUACUCGAACACAAAACGGGUGUCUGAACUAUGUCUCAUUUAUAGGUAUUUCGGCUUCUUUUGAGAUUAUUUUGUGGAUGCCUUUUCUUUUUUACUUAGUGUGUUAAUAAUCUGAGAUUACUGUUGCAUUAGGCUUUAAUGAUUGGCUGGUAUAUAUAUAGAUUGUAUGCCUAGAGAUUAAACUUAUAGUUUUUCGAGUUAAGAGUUGUUAUUGAUGCUUUUCUAUGAUUUCUUUAUAAAAAGUAGAGUCUAAUUUUUUUAAGGUCAUAGUGACAAAGCUAGACUAGGGCUCUUACUCAACUAUGUUUUAACAGGUAAAUAUGUAGGUCAGUACGAAUGUCCAAAAGAUUCCUGUUUUGAAAGAAUUUUCCAGCUAUUAAACAUAGGUUAUGCAUUCUACGUCUCCUCUCCUGGAUAUAUAUAUAUAUAUGGUUGGUGUUAUUAUAACGAUCAUGUUUGUUAACCAUAAAAAAUACUUUGUUUUUUAUUAUAACCGAAACAUGUGCUUUGGUUUUGUUAUCUAAGUGGAGGAGGGUUGAGGUCAUCCUGGGUAAUGGCAAGAAACUAGGGGUCAGUGAAAGUCGGCUGAUAUCCUGGUCAAAUGGUGGAAAAUCAGCAUGACUCAAGGUCUGAAUUGAUAACUAAAACACUAAAAGUCUGUGGACCGAUUUACAAUUUUGCAGAAGGUACCAUCAUACCCCUGAAUUAUUUUUAUUAUUGAAUUAUCUUUUUUGAAGAUAUGUUAAGGUGUUGAUAUAUAAUUAAAGCAUAAGGCAAAUAAGGAGAAUGAAAAGUAGAAGAUAAAAGUUUCACUAUGACUUGACUAGAUAAUGGAACAACCUGAAACUGAUGUAUCAGACUUUGAAAUUCACAAAAGGAUGGUGAAUAACCAAUUUGACUUUGGCAGUUUAAGUCUUAUAUCUCAUGUAGUGAUAUUUUGCUUCAUGUUGUGUAUAUCUAAAACCAAUUAGCUCUUCAGUAUUUUUUUUAAUUCUAAGUUAUAUUCAAUCCAACUUAAAGAGCAAUGUAUAGAGUAAAUUGCCAAAAUCAUCCUGAGAUUUGGUCACUUUUGCCACUUAAACUUUUUUGUAAUCGGACCUUUAGGUUUCAUUUUUACAUAGGAUCACAAACAUUACCGAAAAUGAAUCCAUUGUUAAUGAGCUUAUAAAAAGAUAGGUAAUAUAUUCCAAUCAAGUAAUUCUUAUAUUACAUUAAAGUUUAUAUUUUAUCAACACUGUUCUUAGUAUUUACUCACUUUUGUCAUUUGCCUUAGGAACACAUCUCUGAAGAUGACAAGAAUAUGGAGGCUCAAGUAUGUCUGGUACUACAACCGAAAGAAACUUGAAGAUUGUGGAGGAUGUUAGCAAUAAAGAAAUUAAGUUUCAUAUUUCAAAAAGUGAGAAAUAGUUGAGAUGUUUGUUUGCAAUUUGAACUUGGUCUUUUUAUUGUUUUGUUUGUUCAAUGUUUAUUUUAUAAUACGAACUAAAAAUUUGUGGUGGAGAAGGGAAAGAGUAUACUUUAGAGGUUCAAA